GAUGUUCUAAUGCUGGCUGCUGUAUUCUGUAAUCUUCAAUUUGUGAAUCAUUGAUUUGUUGAUUUUAAGACUUGGUCACCUACAUACAGACUACAAUCAAAAUUAAUGGAUUAAUUAGAAACUUCAUGCAAGUCAUACACUUUGAUCAAUCAAGGGACACCAUUUAAAAAGUCUUUUCUUCCAAUUAUAAAGAUAAUACUGCAACAAAAAGAAUUUAAUUAUUAGGGCCAAACCUAAAAUACAUAAUUAUAGAUUCACAAGCAAUGAUGUUAUAUUGGAAUUAAUAACCAUAAUUAAAGGUGAUAUUCAUAUUGCUAAAAGGAUGUUUUAAUGCUGGCUGUUGUAUUCAGUAAUCGUUGAUUUGAUGAUUGUGCUGUGUUGAUUUUGAGUAAGGCUUGGUCGCUUAAAUACUGCAAUUAAAAUAAAUAAAUCAAUUGGAAACUUCAUGCAAGUCAAACACUUAAUUCAAUCGAGGGACAACAUUUAACAAGUCUUUUACUCCAAAUAUAAGGAAAUAACACAAUUAUAAUACUGCUCCAAAAUAAACUAUUAUUAAGACCAAACCUAAAAUACGCAGUUAAAUAUUCACAAGUAACGCUGUUAUCUUGGGACAAUAAACAUAAUAAAAGAUGAUAUUCAUAUUGCCAAAAGGAUUUUUUAAUGCUGGCUGCUGUAUUCUGGAAUCCUCAAUUUAUGAAUCGCUGAUUUGAUGAUGAUGCUGCAGUAUUUCAAUUUAAGAAUGGCUUGGUUACUUACAGAUAACAAUCAAAAUUAAUUUAAAUCUUUUGUCGUAUCUUUAGCUGUCUUGCAGUCUUUUGUAAUAUUAAAAAUGUUUUCAUCGCAGUUUUUUAUAGAAUGCCUGUAACAUGUCUUGGUUUCUACUAUUAAACAUACAUUUAAGAAUGUCUAAAGUAUCUAUUAUAGCUUUUAUUGGUAUUUCAAUUAUUUAGAACGGGCCCCCACGUGAACAUAUUCAGUGGGGUCCAUUAUCAUCUUGAAAAAUAAAUAAAUAAAUAAAAAAAUAGUAAAUUUGAUCAUGAUUAAUUUUAAUUUUAAUUUUGUAUAUUGACCUUUGUAAGACAGCACAUGCUGGUGUGACACCCCCUUAUAAUUAUUAAUUUUAAGAAUUUUAUUUUAUUGGGAAAAUGUAUUUAAAACAAACCGUUUUUAACUUUGCACUUCCUCUUACUCAGUACACAUCAUUUUUUACAUUUUAACAAAUUUAAAAAAAAAAAAAAAUAUAUUUGUGUUAUUCUAAUGCAAUUAAUUUUUAAUUUUACUUGUAUAAAAUAAUAUGUGUUCUGCCAAACAAAAAGAAUGAAAUUGAAUUUCUAGACCAAACAAUUUAGUUUUGUACCUAUAUUAGUUUAAAAAAUAAAGUGAUAUGAUAUAAUUAAAA
Long non-coding RNA from Myzus persicae (green peach aphid), 1399 nucleotides. RefSeq lists it as uncharacterized. The transcript is spliced from 5 exons. The record is from RefSeq and is a predicted model, not a curated record. NCBI's taxonomy places the organism in Eukaryota, Metazoa, Arthropoda, Insecta, Hemiptera, Aphididae.